AGUGAACGCUGGCGGUAGGCCUAACACAUGCAAGUCGAACGGCAGCACAGUAAGAGCUUGCUCUUACGGGUGGCGAGUGGCGGACGGGUGAGGAAUACAUCGGAAUCUACUUUUUCGUGGGGGAUAACGUAGGGAAACUUACGCUAAUACCGCAUACGACCUACGGGUGAAAGCAGGGGAUCUUCGGACCUUGCGCGAUUGAAUGAGCCGAUGUCGGAUUAGCUAGUUGGCGGGGUAAAGGCCAACCAAGGCGACGAUCCGUAGCUGGUCUGAGAGGAUCAUCAGCCACCCUGUAUCUGAGACUCGGCCCCGACUCCUACGGGAGGCCGCAGUGGGGACUCUUGGACAAUGGGGCCAAGCCUGAUCCAGCCAUACCGCGUGGGUGCAGAAGGCCUUCUGGUUGGAAAGCCCUUUUGUUGUGAAAGAAAAGCAGCAGGUUAAUACCCCGCUGUUCUGACGGUACCCAAAGAAUAAGCACCGGCUAACUUCGUG
RNAcentral lists this ribosomal RNA (492 nucleotides) under uncultured bacterium. RNAcentral describes it as "partial 16S ribosomal RNA". It matches the Rfam family "Bacterial small subunit ribosomal RNA", at positions 29 to 507 of the family's 1533-position model. The record is from RNAcentral.